GUUGGGCAUGAUGGUACAUGCCUGUAAUUCCAGUGACUUGGGAGGCUGAGGCAGGAGGAUCUCAAGUUCAAGGCCAGCCAGGGCAACUUAGUGGCAUCCUGUCUCAA
Molecule: small RNA, 107 nt
Filed under: Marmota monax (woodchuck)
Lineage: Eukaryota; Metazoa; Chordata; Mammalia; Rodentia; Sciuridae
Source: RNAcentral